GCGGGUGUAACUCAGUGGUAGAGUGCCACCUUGCCAAGGUGGAUGUCGAGGGUUCGAGCCCCUUCACCCGCU
RNAcentral lists this transfer RNA (72 nucleotides) under Phycisphaerae bacterium. RNAcentral's name for it is "tRNA-Gly". It matches the Rfam family "tRNA". From Rfam's summary of the family: Transfer RNA (tRNA) molecules are approximately 80 nucleotides in length. Lineage: Bacteria; Pseudomonadati; Planctomycetota; Phycisphaerae. The record is from RNAcentral.